Cebus imitator (Panamanian white-faced capuchin) is the source of this 888-nucleotide RNA transcript. It is a transcript of the gene named 40S ribosomal protein S2-like, with no coding region annotated. The transcript has a single exon. Lineage: Eukaryota; Metazoa; Chordata; Mammalia; Primates; Cebidae. The record is from RefSeq and is a predicted model, not a curated record.
GGCCCCAGGGGCCCUGGGAUGGGGAACUGCAGUGGCUUCCUUGGAGGCUUUAGCAGUGGCAUCCAGGGCUGGGGUUGCAGUCGUGGAUGGGGCUGGGGUCGAGGCUGCAGAGCUCUCAAAGGCAAAGCGGAUGAUAAGGAGAGGCUGCCCCCCAAUACCAAGCUGGGCCGCCUGGUCAAGGACGUCAAGAUCAAGUCCCUGGAAGAGAUCCAUCUCUUCUCCCUACCCAUCAAGGAAACUGAGGUCACUGACUUUCUCCUGGAGCCUCUCUCAAGGAUGAGGUUUUGAAGACUAUGCUGGUGCAGAAGCAGAUCCAUGCCGGCCAGCACACCAGGUUCAAGGCAUUUGUUGCCAUAAGGGACUACAAUGGCCAUGUCGGUCUGGGUAUUAAGUGCACCAAGAAGGUGGCCACUGCCAUCUUCAGAGCUAUCAUCCUGUCCAAGCUUUCCAUUGUCCCCGUGUGCAAAGGCUACUGGGGGAACAAAAUUGGCCAGGCCCACACCAUCCCUUGCAAGGUGACAGGCCGCUGCAGCUGUGUGCUUGUGUGCCUCAUCCCUGCAUCCAGAGGCACUGGCACUGUCUCAGCCCCUGUGUCCAGGAAGAUGCUCACCAUGGCUGGAAUUGAUGAUCGCUACACUUCAGCCAGGGGCUGCACUGCCACCCUGGGCAACCUCACGAAUGCCACCUUUGAUGCCAUCUCUAAGACCUACAGCUACCUGACCCCCAACCUCUGGAAGGAAACUGUAUUCACCAAGUCUCCCUAUCAGGAAUUCACUGACCACCUCAUCAAGACCCACUCCAGAGUCUCAGUGCAGAAGACCCAGGCUCCAGCUACGGCUACAACAUAGGGUUUUUAUACAAGAAAAAUAAAGUGAAUUAAGCCUGAAA